CAGCCGCCGCGGUAAUACGGAGGGUGCAAGCGUUAAUCGGAAUUACUGGGCGUAAAGCGCACGCAGGCGGUCUGACAAGUCAGAUGUGAAAUCCCCGGGCUUAACCUGGGAACUGCAUUUGAAACUGUCAGGCUGGAGUCUUGUAGAGGGGGGUGGAAUUCCAGGUGUAGCGGUGAAAUGCGUAGAGAUCUGGAGGAAUACCGGUGGCGAAGGCGGCCCCCUGGACAAAGACUGACGCUCAGGUGCGAAAGCGUGGGGAGCAAACAGGAUUAGAUACCCCGGUAGUCCCUGUUUCUUAUAC
Molecule: ribosomal RNA, 301 nt
Filed under: uncultured bacterium
Lineage: Bacteria
Description: partial 16S ribosomal RNA
Rfam family: Bacterial small subunit ribosomal RNA
Source: RNAcentral